CCUACGGGCGGCAGCAGUGGGGAAUAUUGGACAAUGGGCGAAAGCCUGAUCCAGCCAUGCCGCGUGUGUGAAGAAGGCCUUCGGGUUGUAAAGCACUUUCAGUGGGGAAGAAAGCCUUGGGGCUAAUACCCUCGAGGAAGGACAUCACCCACAGAAGAAGCACCGGCUAACUCCGUGCCAGCAGCCGCGGUAAUACGGAGGGUGCGAGCGUUAAUCGGAAUUACUGGGCGUAAAGCGCGCGUAGGCGGUCUGAUAAGCCGGUUGUGAAAGCCCCGGGCUCAACCUGGGAACGGCAUCCGGAACUGUCAGGCUAGAGUGCAUGAGAGGAAGGUAGAAUUCCCGGUGUAGCGGUGAAAUGCGUAGAGAUCGGGAGGAAUACCAGUGGCGAAGGCGGCCUUCUGGACUGACACUGACGCUGAGGUGCGAAAGCGUGGGUAGCAAACAGGAUUAGAUACCCUAGUAGUC
Molecule: ribosomal RNA, 465 nt
Filed under: Vreelandella stevensii
Lineage: Bacteria; Pseudomonadati; Pseudomonadota; Gammaproteobacteria; Oceanospirillales; Halomonadaceae
Description: partial 16S ribosomal RNA
Rfam family: Bacterial small subunit ribosomal RNA
Source: RNAcentral